Molecule: ribosomal RNA, 465 nt
Filed under: Vreelandella stevensii
Lineage: Bacteria; Pseudomonadati; Pseudomonadota; Gammaproteobacteria; Oceanospirillales; Halomonadaceae
Description: partial 16S ribosomal RNA
Rfam family: Bacterial small subunit ribosomal RNA
Source: RNAcentral
CCUACGGGGGGCUGCAGUGGGGAAUAUUGGACAAUCGGGGCAACCCUGAUCCAGCCAUGCCGCGUGUGUGAAGAAGGCCCUCGGGUUGUAAAGCACUUUCAGUGAGGAAGAACGCCUGGUGGUUAAUACCCAUCAGGAAAGACAUCACUCACAGAAGAAGCACCGGCUAACUCCGUGCCAGCAGCCGCGGUAAUACGGAGGGUGCGAGCGUUAAUCGGAAUUACUGGGCGUAAAGCGCGCGUAGGUGGCUUGAUAAGCCGGUUGUGAAAGCCCCGGGCUCAACCUGGGAACGGCAUCCGGAACUGUCAAGCUAGAGUGCAGGAGAGGAAGGUAGAAUUCCCGGUGUAGCGGUGAAAUGCGUAGAGAUCGGGAGGAAUACCAGUGGCGAAGGCGGCCUUCUGGACUGACACUGACACUGAGGUGCGAAAGCGUGGGUAGCAAACAGGAUUAGAUACCCCGGUAGUC